RNAcentral lists this ribosomal RNA (253 nucleotides) under uncultured bacterium. RNAcentral describes it as "partial 16S ribosomal RNA". It matches the Rfam family "Bacterial small subunit ribosomal RNA", at positions 524 to 776 of the family's 1533-position model. The record is from RNAcentral.
UACGUAGGGGGCUAGCGUUGUCCGGAAUCAUUGGGCGUAAAGCGCGUGUAGGCGGCCAGGUAGGUCUGGUGUGAAAACUCGAGGCUUAACCUCGAGAUGUCAUCGGAAACCAUUUGGCUAGAGUCCGGAAGAGGAGAGUGGAAUUCCUGGUGUAGCGGUGAAAUGCGCAGAUAUCAGGAAGAACACCAAUGGCGAAAGCAGCUCUCUGGGACGGUACUGACGCUGAGACGCGAAAGCGUGGGGAGCGAACAGG